Molecule: ribosomal RNA, 484 nt
Filed under: uncultured bacterium
Lineage: Bacteria
Description: partial 16S ribosomal RNA
Rfam family: Bacterial small subunit ribosomal RNA
Source: RNAcentral
AUUGAACGCUGGCGGCAGGCCUAACACAUGCAAGUCGAGCGGAUGAAGGGAGCUUGCUCCUGGAUUCAGCGGCGGACGGGUGAGUAAUGCCUAGGAAUCUGCCUGGUAGUGGGGGAUAACGUCCGGAAACGGGCGCUAAUACCGCAUACGUCCUGAGGGAGAAAGUGGGGGAUCUUCGGACCUCACGCUAUCAGAUGAACCUAGGUCGGAUUAGCUAGUUGGUGGGGUAAAGGCCUACCAAGGCGACGAUCCGUAACUGGUCUGAGAGGAUGAUCAGUCACACUGGAACUGAGACACGGUCCAGACUACUACGGGAGGCAGCAGUGGGGAAUAUUGGACAAUGGGCGAAAGCCUGAUCCAGCCAUGCCGCGUGUGUGAAGAAGGUCUUCGGAUUGUAAAGCACUUUAAGUUGGGAGGAAGGGCAGUAAGUUAAUACCUUGCUGUUUUGACGUUACCAACAGAAUAAGCACCGGCUAACUUCGUG